UUUUCCCUACGGGACGCAGCAGUGGGGAAUAUUGGGCAAUGGGCGCAAGCCUGACCCAGCAACGCCGCGUGAAGGAAGAAGGCUUUCGGGUUGUAAACUUCUUUUCUCAGGGACGAAUAGAUGACGGUACCUGAGGAAUAAGCCACGGCUAACUACGUGCCAGCAGCCGCGGUAAUACGGAGGAUGCGAGCGUUAUCCGGAUUUAUUGGGUUUAAAGGGUGCGCGGGCGGUCUGUUAAGUCAGCGGUCAAAGCCCGGGGCUCAACCCCGGCCCGCCGUUGAAACUGGCGUUCUUGAGUGGGCGAG
This 305-nucleotide ribosomal RNA is filed under the name uncultured bacterium. RNAcentral describes it as "bacterial SSU rRNA". It matches the Rfam family "Bacterial small subunit ribosomal RNA", at positions 333 to 654 of the family's 1533-position model. The record is from RNAcentral.